Passer domesticus (house sparrow) is the source of this 4291-nucleotide long non-coding RNA. RefSeq lists it as uncharacterized. The transcript has 2 exons. Lineage: Eukaryota; Metazoa; Chordata; Aves; Passeriformes; Passeridae. The record is from RefSeq and is a predicted model, not a curated record.
AUGAAGGUCUCUGGAACCUUCCUUUCUCCAGGCUGAACAGCUCCAAUUAUUUUAGCCUUUCCUCAUAGGAGAGCUGUUCCCCCCCUCUGAUCAUAGUUCAGGCCCUCCUCUGGACCUGCUCCAUUAUUUAUUGUGUUUGAGAACUCUAGUACUGGACACAAUAUUCCAGGUCUGGAAAAAAGGCAAUAUCAAGACUGCAAGUCCACAAGUACAUGAUCACUGUAGUCUAGUGACUCCAAUCUUGACACCCCCAAUAACUCACUUGCAUUGAUGGCCAUCAGGUACAGUAUCACAAUCUGUCUGGCAGGACUGGUUAUUAUCUGACGUAAGAAGUUACUCUCCAUGCAUUUCAGGAAUCUCCUGUUGUACUAGAUGCCAGAGUGGUUGAAGUGCCCCAGAAGGAUGACACCCUGCAGGUAUGAUGCCUCCUGUAGCUGGAGCAAGAAGGCUCCAUCAAUAGGAUUCCUGUGAUGAGGUGAGCUGUAGUGGAUACCAACCACGUUCCCUUUGUUGACUCAGUCUCUGAUUUUUACCCAUAUGCUUUAGACCACAUCAUGGCUGUUCCCCAGAGAGAGCUCUUUACAUUCCAUCCAUUUCUUGAUAUAGAUGGUAAUCCCUUUGCCCCUCUGUCCUGGGUUGACUAUAUGAUGCUUUAUCCCAAAUCGUCUUGUUUUGUUUAUACUGAAAAAUAAGUUUUACACCUUUAAGACUCUCUUCCAGAGAGUGAAGAGGGGAGGGAAGAAGUGCGCAAUUUGUUUUCAGACUGCACUCACUCCUCCACAUUCCUGCUCCUGGAAUGUGUUAUCUGCGGAUGGACAGACAGCAGGACAGAGCUUUUUUUUCCCCUUUUUUUGCUUUUAGUUAGUUUUAGCUAGCUGAGGCAAAGAAGUUCCUUGGACUGUGAUUUUCUUUUUUUUCUUGGACCUGUUCAAGCCUGUUCUAGACUGAACACCCAGAAGAGCAUCGGCCGCUCCACCUGUGGCCUCCUGGCCGGGCCUGGGCCGCGGCGUUUCCAGCGCCGGAGGGACUGAUCAGAGACUGAGUGAGCCGAGCUGCAACCUGGGGAGGGGACUGUUCUGAGUUUGCCAUUUUUUUUCUUGGGGCAGCAAGAAGUUUUAUUGUUUAAUAUUGUUUGGGUUCUAUUGUUUAAUAAACAGGGUUUUUUCCCACUUUUUUUCUCCAAGGAGAUAUUUUCUCCCGAACCAGUUGAGGGGGGGAGGGCCAAUUGAAUCUGCUUUUGUAGAGAAGCCCCUUUGGGGGUUAUCUCCCAAACUUGCCCUAAACCAGGACACCGUCCUUCCUCUCCAGUCCCUUCUAAACAUCCUGCAGCCAUGCUCCAGUCACAGGAUUCAUCCCACCAAAUUUCAGUAAUGACAAUGAGGUCAUACUUUAGCAGCAUGGUGGCUUCAAGCUCCCUGGUUUUUACUCAUGCUGCAUACAUUGGUAUAGCCACAUGCUGGUGACUCAUGGGCUGACUCCCAACACGUGGUGUUAUGACUGAAUUAUUUUCACAUUUGGAGCACUGCAGUAUCACCUCUAUGCUGUAUGUCAAGUAGCCAGAAGCUGGCAGGAGCAAGACUUUACAUUGCCCAUAACCAAAUCAAAAAUAGGGAAAGAUUAGCUGCCAAUGAGAUUUAAAACCACAAAGCAGAACCAAAGCUGAUAAGAAAAGCAAAACAAACUGUCCUUGUAAAGAUGAACUUUGCAGCUGACAUAAGAAAAGCAACCAUUAAGGUAAGCAGGUGUGUUACAAACCUCAAGUUAAAAACUGGAAGUAUUUUGAAAGGUAACAGAAAUUAAGAGCGCAUGCAAGCCUUGAGCUGGAAAACAGUCUGACCUUGAAGUAACUGAAUCUGCCUUUCUGGUUCUUUGGUCUUAUGGCCUUGGUAACAGACAAUAUGCCCCACUUCCUGGUACAGCAUAGCUGUAUAGAAAUAGCAAUGUCUGGUAUGAGACAGCGGGUCUCUGCCUCACCUGCUGCCUGCUACCCUGAUUUGUCAUUAACAUUGCUACUUCAAGACCCCAAGUGCUAGACAAAGCCAACUGGACUGCUCCAAGAUUCCAGACCAACUUUACCUGUCAAUGCAGACCCUGGACCAAGGGCAGGGAGGCUUCCCUAAUAACUGGGUUUUUUACAGAUCAGCAUAUUCAUUCUGCCCUGGAUGUCUCAGUCAGCUUGUGCUAUGGUAUCAGCUGUCACAAGAUCCAGCAUAGUCAUUAAUAUCCCAUAAGAACCACCACAGUCUUAUGCAUCUUAAUGCAGAUUUCCAGAUCUCCAGACUCAAAAUAACACUUAAUCUCUCCUAUUAAAACAAGUCUAGGAGAAAUCAUUACAUCUUGGGCAUGUGAAAUUUUCAGCUGAAGCACUGCCACCCACUUGUGAACACUUGAAUCAGCCAGGCACUAGUCUGGCAACAAAAGCAGCAUUUUCUCUUGUGUUGUCUAACAUAAAGAGCUUGCACAAACUUCUAGGUGAUAUUUGCAGAACAGCACCCCAAGGUUUUUUUGUUUCUAUGCUCUGUCUGGUAGGUGCCAGUUCAGCAUUAUCAAAAUGCUUGCUUGGGUAGUGCUUGCAAGGACUAGCAUGCAGAAGUUAAAGCAGCCUAAAAAGUUGUUAUAGAGCCUCCUUUAGAGUUCAUUAUUUACCACUGUAAAUUCUUAUUGAUACGGCACCACUGCUUAUCACAGGGAUCUAGCAGAUUAAAAUGCAGAUUUAGGAGGAGAGUUACAGACUUCUACUGACAUCUGUAGCAAACAUCCAUAUCAUACAUCUCUGAGAAGUUCAUAUGAAUAUUCCUGGGCAUCAAUUCACAGCCUUGCAAAGCUGUUAAAAUAUAUAAUGAUCAUAGCUUUUGUAGUAGUGAACUUGCAUAUUUGAGCAAAGAAGAUGAUGUGUCAGAUUGGUUGCAUUAAGAGUGGACCAAGAAGCUAAUCACUUCCAUAUCUCCAAUUACAUUUUUCCCUUGUAAAAAAGGGAUAAACGACUACAAUUCCACUGUAUUUUCAAAUGUAAUUCAAACUUGGACCUCUGCUGUCUUUAAUAGACAAACAGACAAAAUGUCAGUGAGAAGGGAUUUUAAAAUCUGUAUUUUAAACACUGCAGUAGUAUAACCAGUCAGGACACAAAAUUACUUGUACACUGCUAACUCAGUGUAUUACUGCAACAAAUAUAUACUACAAUCGCUUUCAGAAAAGAGAUAGUAAAAUAAUUAUGCAAAAAAAAUCAAGACCAUCAGAACACUUCUAAAUUAUUAAAAGAUCAUGCAUCACAUGUAUUUGAGAUGUAAAGAGAGGGCUGAUUUUGUUAGAUUUUUUUUUUUUUUUUUUGCUUUACAUCUGGGUUGCAAUGGAUUAUUACUGCAGGAAAGGUAAACGUGAAACCAUUGAAAUAACCACAUUCCUUCUUUUAUGUCUUUUAUGUUUAAAUGUGUUUCCAGCUCAUAUCUAUAUGUUGACAAAAUCAAAUAUUGGUCUCUUCUUAAUUUUCCAAGCUACAGAAGAUAAUUGCACAGUAGAAAACAAGACCUAAUACAAGAUGUAGCAACUGGAAUUUCAUGCUGCUUAUAUGUAGUCAUUUAAAAGAUAGAAAUUCACAAGGAAAUGUGACUCAUUUUAACUUUGGAGAGACAUUUUCUUAACUGUGUGUCUCAGUUUAGAGACAAAUUUUAGGACAGAAUGCACUGGAAUGAGCAUUUCCUCUAAAUAGAAGGGCUUUGAUAAUUCCAUUUGACAAUGAGGGAAAUUAAUACCAAUGAGUUAAAAUUAAAAAAACCCAACCUGAUACAGAUAAGUAAUGUAAUAGUUGACUCUCACAAUUAAGAGAUAGGUAUUAUGUGUAUGUUAAGAUGUGCAGUGAUGUUAUUGUAAUAUGACCCCCAUGGUCCUCUUUCCCCUCCCCGUAUAAUAGCCUUAGUGAUCAGGGCAGGUGGGAGGGCAGGCUUGUUACUAAGAAGCAUGGCAUAGGAACACCUGACCUCCAAUCAAGUUGCAAGAGAACAAUCUCCACCACCAAUGGACGGCAACGAAGAGUUAAGUGACAGGGUUUAGGAGGGACUAGAGUUACCUGAUGCAACACCAAAGGUAUAAAAGGGUGAGCAGCCAUUUUUGUGAAUGAACCACGUGGCUGGUAGUCAUGGAGAUGGCUCCCAGGACUGUAAUUUUUCCAUAUUCUGUCCUUUGUUGUAAUUUUUUGUUAAGGUUUAAUUAACCUUUAAAAUUUUAAAAGUGAGCAGUUGUUUCUCACAAAAAUCAAGCUGUUUAUUAACAAAAAAAAAAAAAAGUGCCCACAAAG